This 615-nucleotide ribosomal RNA is filed under the name fungal endophyte. RNAcentral's name for it is "eukaryotic LSU rRNA". The stretch from base 201 to 354 matches the Rfam family "5.8S ribosomal RNA". Lineage: Eukaryota; Fungi. The record is from RNAcentral.
GACCUGCGGAAGGAUCAUUAACGAGUUGAACGGGGUUGUAGCUGGCCUUCACAGGCAUGUGCACACCUCACUCAUCCACUCUACACCUGUGCACUUACUGUGGGUUUCGAGAGGCCGCGCUUGCGUGGUUGAUCGGGCUCACGUCUAUUACAAACUCUUCAGUAUCAGAAUGUGUAUCGCGAUGUAACGCAUCUAUAUACAACUUUCAGCAACGGAUCUCUUGGCUCUCGCAUCGAUGAAGAACGCAGCGAAAUGCGAUAAGUAAUGUGAAUUGCAGAAUUCAGUGAAUCAUCGAAUCUUUGAACGCACCUUGCGCUCCUUGGUAUUCCGAGGAGCAUGCCUGUUUGAGUGUCGUGUAAUUCUCAACCUAUAAAUCCUUGUGGUUUUUAGGCUUGGACUUGGAGGCUUUUGCUGGCUUUACCGUCGGCUCCUCUUAAAUGCAUUAGCUUGAUUCCUUGCGGAUCGGCUCUCAGUGUGAUAAUUAUCUGCGCUGUGACCGUGAAGCGUUUGGCGAGCUUCUAACCGUCUCUUUGAGACAAAACACUUUGACAUCUGACCUCAAAUCAGGUAGGACUACCCGCUGAACUUAAGCAUAUCAAUAAGCGGAGGAAAAGA